UGUGAAGAAUGCCAGUGAGUUUCAAGAAGUUCAUCGGGAGAAGUGGAAUGAGAUGAUUUCAUCUGCAGCCUUAAGGAACAUCAGGGAAGCAAAGUGGAAUGUGCCCACCCUAAUGCCCUUUACCGAAGAUGUCCAAAAACUGCAUGCAUAUCUUAGUCAAGUGCAAGAUGAGUGGUACAAUUCACUCACAGAAAGUCCAUGUACAAAGGCCUGGAUGGAACUGGCAAAAGUGUGUCUGACCCAGAUCAUUCUUUUUAACCGACGCAGGGAAGGAGAGGUGGCAAGCAUGCCGUUAUCAGCAUAUUUAUCUAGAGACACUACCGAUCCACACGAGGAUGUGGACUGGGCGCUCUCUGAAGUGGAAAAAAAACUCUGCAGACACUUCUCUAGGAUCAUCAUCAGAGGAAAACGUGGUCGCCCAGUUCCAAUUCUGUUGACUCCAAAAAUGAUGUCUGCUUUAGAACUCCUUGUUAAACAAAGAGAGGCUUGUGGAGUUCUAAAAGAUAACAGUUACAUGUUUGCAAGACCGGAAGCGGCAACACAUUUCAGAGGUUCAGACUGCAUUCGUGGCUUCGCGAAGGCAUGUGGUGCGAAGUGUCCAGAGUCACUGACCUCAACCAGGCUGAGAAAGCAUGCUGCAACCCUUUCAACGGUGCUAAACAUGACAGACACAGAGAUGGACCAACUAGCCAACUUCCUGGGACAUGACAUAAGAAUCCAUCGUGAGUUCUAUCGACUCCCAGAAAAGACCCUGCAACUUGCCAAGAUCAGCAAAGUUCUUGUGGCUCUCGAGAAAGGACGAUUAGCUGAGUUUCAGGGCAAGAAUUUGGAUGAAAUUGGCAUAGAUCCUGAUGGUAUGUAUGUAUGUAUGUGUAUAUAUAUAUAUAUAAUUUUUUUUAUGUAUUUUUUUGUUAUUCUGCCCUGGUUCUGUAUAUUCCUUUUUGUUUAAUCAUGUACUUUUUGUAUGACUUUUACAGAAAAGGUUCAGGCCAGUGAUGAGGAAGAUGGAAGCAUACAGGAGGAAAUCUGCUCAUCCACUCCUGAUGGUGUGUAUUGUUAGUAAGUUACUGUACAAAUGCUGGGUUUCCCACAGUAUGUUAUAAUUUGAAGAAAAAAGAAAUUUAACUUUAAUUCAGACAUUUACCUUACCAGCAUCUUUGAGGCAAAAAUUACAACCUGAAUGGAACAAAAUGCCCUAGCAGUUAGUUCUGGUCGAUAAAACAAUAACGAUAGUUAUCGAGGAAAAUGUAUAUCGCGAUAACUAUAAUAAGCCGGGGCGAUAGGAUAAACUUUCUCUAUUUCCCCUUUAAGUAGCGCUGCGAACAGGCGCAGCACGUGAUCAGGCAGCGCUCUGAA
Molecule: long non-coding RNA, 1356 nt
Filed under: Astyanax mexicanus (Mexican tetra)
Lineage: Eukaryota; Metazoa; Chordata; Actinopteri; Characiformes; Acestrorhamphidae
Description: lncRNA (ENSAMXG00005002884.1)
Source: RNAcentral